UAGCACCAUUUAAAUUCAGCAU
This 22-nucleotide microRNA is filed under the name Ascaris suum (pig roundworm). RNAcentral's name for it is "asu-miR-83-3p". Its record names the gene asu-miR-83-3p. The record is from miRBase by way of RNAcentral. Lineage: Eukaryota; Metazoa; Nematoda; Chromadorea; Rhabditida; Ascarididae.